GCCAGGCAGGGUGGUGCGUGCCUGUAAUCCCAGCUACUCUGGAGGCUGAGGCAGGAGAAUUGCUUGAACCCGGGAGGCAGAGGUUGCAGUGAGCCAAGAUCCUGCCACUGCACUCCAGCCUGGGUGAUAGAGCGAGAUGCUGUCUCAA
RNAcentral lists this non-coding RNA (148 nucleotides) under Nomascus leucogenys (northern white-cheeked gibbon). Lineage: Eukaryota; Metazoa; Chordata; Mammalia; Primates; Hylobatidae. The record is from Rfam by way of RNAcentral.